Small nuclear RNA from Rhodnius prolixus, 114 nucleotides. The record is from Rfam. Lineage: Eukaryota; Metazoa; Arthropoda; Insecta; Hemiptera; Reduviidae.
GCGCCCUAACUUCGGUGGUACAUAUACUAAAAUUGGAACUAUACAGAGGAGAUUAGCAUGGCCCCAGCGAAAGGAAAACGUCUAUAUUUAGAAGUAAUACAUCACCAAAUUCUU